UGUUGCUGGGAGGCAGAGUGGAGACAGAGCUCCAGAGGAAUCAGAGGAGGUGGAAACAUCUCGUCCUUGGUGCAGGUAGAAGAACAAAAUCACCAGUUUGACAUCAUGGAAACAACCUGAAGAAAAGUGAAUGAGACAUUUACAGUAUGAAGAAGAGUCAUGAAGAGCAGAGCAUCUUAAGUC
This is a long non-coding RNA of Hippoglossus stenolepis (Pacific halibut), 183 nucleotides long. RefSeq lists it as uncharacterized. The transcript has 3 exons. The record is from RefSeq and is a predicted model, not a curated record. NCBI's taxonomy places the organism in Eukaryota, Metazoa, Chordata, Actinopteri, Pleuronectiformes, Pleuronectidae.